RNAcentral lists this ribosomal RNA (249 nucleotides) under uncultured bacterium. RNAcentral's name for it is "partial 16S ribosomal RNA". It matches the Rfam family "Bacterial small subunit ribosomal RNA", at positions 87 to 334 of the family's 1533-position model. The record is from RNAcentral.
UCGAAGGAGUGGCGAACGGGUGAGUAAUACAUAAGCAACCUACCCACGAAGACUGGGAUAAUCUCUGGAAACGGGGACUAAUACCGGAUAGGUAAUCGGAAGGCAUCUUCUGGUUAUUAAAGGUUAAAAACACUGGUGGAUGGGCUUAUGGCGCAUUAGUUAGUUGGUGAGGUAACGGCCCACCAAGACGAUGAUGCGUAGCCGGCCUGAGGGGGUGAACGGCCACAUUGGGACUGAGACACGGCCCAG